CCUACGGGGGGCAGCAGUGAGGAAUAUUGGUCAAUGGGCGAGAGCCUGAACCAGCCAAGUCGCGUGAGGGAGUACUGCCCUAUGGGUUGUAAACCUCUUUUGUCGGGGAGCAAAAGCCGGACGUGUCCGGCUGUGAGAGUACCCGAAGAAAAAGCAUCGGCUAACUCCGUGCCAGCAGCCGCGGUAAUACGGAGGAUGCGAGCGUUAUCCGGAUUUAUUGGGUUUUAAGGGUGCGCAGGCGGAUUUUUAAGUCAGCGGUAAAAUCGUGGGGCUCAACCCCAUCCAGCCGUUGAAACUGGGGAUCUAGAGUGUGCGAGAGGUAUGCGGAAUGCGUGGUGUAGCGGUGAAAUGCAUAGAUAUCACGCAGAACCCCGAUUGCGAAGGCAGCAUACCGGUGCACAACUGACGCUCAGGCACGAAAGCGUGGGUAUCGAACAGGAUUAGAUACCCGGGUAGUC
RNAcentral lists this ribosomal RNA (458 nucleotides) under uncultured bacterium. RNAcentral's name for it is "partial 16S ribosomal RNA". It matches the Rfam family "Bacterial small subunit ribosomal RNA", at positions 338 to 795 of the family's 1533-position model. The record is from RNAcentral.